Molecule: ribosomal RNA, 253 nt
Filed under: uncultured bacterium
Lineage: Bacteria
Description: partial 16S ribosomal RNA
Rfam family: Bacterial small subunit ribosomal RNA
Source: RNAcentral
UACAGAGGUCUCAAGCGUUGUUCGGAUUCAUUGGGCGUAAAGAGCGUGUAGGCGGCCAGAUAAGUCCGCUGUGAAAUCUCGAGGCUCAACUUCGAGCUGUCGGUGGAAACUGUCUGGCUAGAGUCCGGAAGAGGAGAAUGGAAUUCCUGGUGUAGCGGUGAAAUGCGCAGAUAUCAGGAAGAACACCUAUGGCGAAGGCGGCUCUCUGGGACGGUACUGACGCUGAGACGCGAAAGCGUGGGGAGCGAACAGG